Molecule: long non-coding RNA, 1453 nt
Organism: Phacochoerus africanus (Common warthog)
Lineage: Eukaryota; Metazoa; Chordata; Mammalia; Artiodactyla; Suidae
Exons: 3
Source: RefSeq, a predicted model, not a curated record
AUAAAAACAGAAAAAUGGCGACGGUCACGUUGUGGCGAGCACGUUGUAUCCUUGCUGCGUCAUUAGAUAAUCCUCAUGCAAAUAGCGGGAAGAACAAAGGAAGGGGGGCCCUGGACCCCCGGGGGCGCAGGGUGCUGGCGUGGGUCCCUCGCCGUCCGGCGGCGACUGUAAAUAGAGCCUGGAUGUUGUUUACAUGAAGGAUCCGGCGGGAGGAGUCUGCGAGGAGGAGGCGGAGGAGGAGGAGGAGGGAGGAGAGAGGAAGACCAGAGUCUCCGCGGCGGCGGUCCGGGUGGGCUAACAGUACCUAACCUGGUUCCAGAAUCCUUCUGUGAUGAAUUAGUGAGUAAUUAAUCCCGUAGGGGUCUUGUGAAAACCAAAGCGGAAAGCACAUAGAAAAUUAUUGAAUGUUAGGCACAUGUGGAAAUUACUGCCAGAUUUGCUGCUGAGCUCUUUGAGGAGAGGGACCAUGUCUUGUUUCUCUUCAUUUCCUGGACAUCUCGAAGAGGUCUGGGCACGUGGUAGUCCCUCAGUUAAUAUUUAUCGGGUGCAUGAUUGAGGUCAGGGAGGUGGAAUCAGUGAGUCCCCGCAUGGCAUGCCAUGGAGCGCCUCUGCCGCGUAAGCAAGCGGUGGCUCAUCAUUCCUGUCUGGAAGUCACGUGUGGGUGUUUCCGUCUUACCUGUAUUUCACCUGGGCCUUUUCCUGUUUCAGCCUCACCGGUUACUGGGCUGGGACCCUCCUUUCUCUUCUGCUUGGCCACAUCUCGAAGCCGCAGGGGACCUCUUGGUCCUUCACUCCCUGGGGAGCCUUCGGAGGGAGUCACACGGCCCCUCCCCGCCGGAAAGGAAGCUGCCGGCCGACCCAGUGACUGACAGGCUGCCCUGGCUCAGUUAUCACAGUGCUGAUGCUGUCCAUUCUAAAGGUACAGUACUGUGAUAACUGAAGGAUGGCAGCCAUCUUGCCUUCCAGCCGAGGAGCCCCCAUCCUGCCCGGGAAGGAAGACGGAGGACCGGCUCGGCCUGCGUAACGGUGCCAGGGACCCGGGAAGCCUCUGGCCCUGUGCCGCACCGCCCCUCGCGCCCGCGCGCGCGCGCAGGACAUUGCUCCUGCUUCCGUCUUCGCCUCGUUCGGGGAUGCGCGGUGCAACGAGGGGCUGGGUAGUGGUUUUCCCUCGUGUGCGGAGCAGAUGUGCUGUUGAGAGCUUUGGAACUUUGAAGAGACUGGUAUCAGAUAAGCGCUAAGUGUGGAUUCGUAUUUCUGGAAUGUUUGUCAUUCUGAGAAAUUUGUGCCGCUUUGAGAAACCUAAAAAGUCACCUGAUUACAACAGCCUGAUGCUUACCUAUCAAUAGAGGUUCCACAUAAAAUUCAACUUGCACGGAGAAAAAAAGCCCCGCACGUUGAACGGUAUUCAUGUGUUCGUGUUAUUGCGCAAAUAAAAUUAUGUCUUGGUGCUGAA